UUUGAAUAAAUAAGAUCUUGUAAAUUCAAUACAAGAUUAUAAAACUGGGAAUUGUUUCCUCCAACAACUGCUUUUAGCCGGCGAUGCCACUCUUC
Molecule: long non-coding RNA, 95 nt
Organism: Rhagoletis zephyria (snowberry fruit fly)
Lineage: Eukaryota; Metazoa; Arthropoda; Insecta; Diptera; Tephritidae
Source: RefSeq, a predicted model, not a curated record